Molecule: long non-coding RNA, 511 nt
Organism: Brassica oleracea var. oleracea
Lineage: Eukaryota; Viridiplantae; Streptophyta; Magnoliopsida; Brassicales; Brassicaceae
Exons: 2
Source: RefSeq, a predicted model, not a curated record
UUUGUCACGACCUAACUUCUCCACUCCACCAACUCCACCCAUUAACACAUCUAUUAAACCCACCUUCUCCACUAAUAACCUGCAAUCAAAAGAAAAGAAAAAAAAUCAGAGAGAAGAGAAGAGUAGAGAAGAGAAGGGAAGAUAAAAGAAGAGAAGGGGAGGUGAGAAGAAGGAUUUGGAGAGGUUGAGGUCGUCACCGGAGUUCGUUAUAGCCUCUACGCCCCGUGACCGUGUUGAGCUCGCCACCACCGUUAAUCGCAGGUGAUUCUGAUGAGCAGGAGUGAUUAUCGGACCGGUGCUAUUGGGCUUUUGGGCUUCUAUCGCUUUUACCGCUUUUAUCUUUAUCGGGCCUUUAGGCCUUUGGACUUUUAUCGUUUAUGUUAUUCCUAUUUCAGACUUUCGGUUUAUGUCGUAUUUUAUAUUUCGAAUGUUAUCGGUGUUGGGCUUUUAGGCCUUUUGGAAACAUAUUGACUUUUAUAUUAUGAUAUGAAGAUUAUUAUUAUUUGAGUUG